RNAcentral lists this ribosomal RNA (877 nucleotides) under uncultured bacterium. Its description in RNAcentral is "bacterial SSU rRNA". It matches the Rfam family "Bacterial small subunit ribosomal RNA", at positions 52 to 919 of the family's 1533-position model. The record is from RNAcentral.
CACAUGCAAGUCGAGGGGAAACGACAUCGAAAGCUUGCUUUUGAUGGGCGUCGACCGGCGCACGGGUGAGUAACGCGUAUCCAACCUGCCCACCACUUGGGGAUAACCUUGCGAAAGUAAGACUAAUACCCAAUGACGUCUCUAGAAGACAUCUGAAAGAGAUUAAAGAUUUAUCGGUGAUGGAUGGGGAUGCGUCUGAUUAGCUUGUUGGCGGGGUAACGGCCCACCAAGGCGACGAUCAGUAGGGGUUCUGAGAGGAAGGUCCCCCACAUUGGAACUGAGACACGGUCCAAACUCCUACGGGAGGCAGCAGUGAGGAAUAUUGGUCAAUGGACGAGAGUCUGAACCAGCCAAGUAGCGUGCAGGAAGACGGCCCUAUGGGUUGUAAACUGCUUUUAUAAGGGAAUAAAGUGAGAGUCGUGACUCUUUUUGCAUGUACCUUAUGAAUAAGGACCGGCUAAUUCCGUGCCAGCAGCCGCGGUAAUACGGAAGGUCCGGGCGUUAUCCGGAUUUAUUGGGUUUAAAGGGAGCGUAGGCCGGAGAUUAAGCGUGUUGUGAAAUGUAGAUGCUCAACAUCUGAACUGCAGCGCGAACUGGUUUCCUUGAGUACGCACAAAGUGGGCGGAAUUCGUGGUGUAGCGGUGAAAUGCUUAGAUAUCACGAAGAACUCCGAUUGCGAAGGCAGCUCACUGGAGCGCAACUGACGCUGAAGCUCGGAAGUGCGGGUAUCGAACAGGAUUAGAUACCCUGGUAGUCCGCACGGUAAACGAUGGAUGCCCGCUGUUGGUCUGAAUAGGUCAGCGGCCAAGCGAAAGCAUUAAGCAUCCCACCUGGGGAGUACGCCGGCAACGGUGAAACUCAGAGGAAUUGACGGGGG